Molecule: ribosomal RNA, 253 nt
Filed under: uncultured bacterium
Lineage: Bacteria
Description: partial 16S ribosomal RNA
Rfam family: Bacterial small subunit ribosomal RNA
Source: RNAcentral
UACGUAGGGGGCAAGCGUUGUCCGGAAUCAUUGGGCGUAAAGAGCGUGUAGGUGGCCCGAUAAGUCCGCCGUGAAAGUCCAGGGCUCAACCCUGGAAUGCCGGUGGAAACUGUCGGGCUGGAGUCCGGAAGAGGCGAGUGGAAUUCCUGGUGUAGCGGUGAAAUGCGCAGAUAUCAGGAGGAACACCAAUGGCGAAGGCAGCUCGCUGGGACGGUACUGACGCUGAGACGCGAAAGCGUGGGGAGCAAACAGG